Molecule: ribosomal RNA, 253 nt
Filed under: uncultured bacterium
Lineage: Bacteria
Description: partial 16S ribosomal RNA
Rfam family: Bacterial small subunit ribosomal RNA
Source: RNAcentral
UACAGAGGUCCCAAGCGUUACUGAGAAUCACUGGGUUUAAAGGGUGCGUAGGUGGCGCGUUAAGUCAGUUGUGAAAUCCCCGGGCUCAGCCCGGGAACUGCUUCUGAUACUGGCGUGCUUGAGGCCAGUAGGGGUCACUAGAACUGACGGUGGAGCGGUGAAAUGCGUAGAUAUCGUCAGGAAUGCCGGUGGUGAAGACGGGUGACUGGGCUGGUUCUGACACUGAGGCACGAAAGCGUGGGGAGCGAACGGG